CCAGCUCCGAUGAGGUAAUGGACAGUUUUCUCAACCUUAGCCAUGUCAACGCGACCAGAGAGGUACAAGUAAGUUCUGAGCAAAUCUCCGUGUCUGUUUUCUUCUGCCGUCCAGGCCCGGGUCCACACAGCCCACGGGCUUGGGCUGGUUCCGCACUCGUCUCUCACCCCGUCGAGGUUGUUGAUCAUAGUCUGGUAGGUGGGAAGCGCGUCUUCGGUGACCAUGUCACCCACCAACACCACGAAGUACUCGUCAGGUAGCUCCUUGGUGCGUUCGCGAAGGGCCUUCACCUCCUCACUGAACUCUUC
RNAcentral lists this long non-coding RNA (308 nucleotides) under Phaseolus vulgaris (common bean). RNAcentral describes it as "long non-coding RNA (PVUL_LNC004869)". The record is from RNAcentral. Lineage: Eukaryota; Viridiplantae; Streptophyta; Magnoliopsida; Fabales; Fabaceae.